UACGGAGGAUGCAAGCGUUAUCCGGAUUUAUUGGGUUUAAAGGGUGCGUAGGCGGCCGAGUAAGUCAGCGGUGAAAUUUUGCAGCUUAACUGUAACAGUGCCGUUGAUACUGCGUGGCUAGGAUUUGGUUGCUGUGGGUGGAAUGUGUGGUGUAGCGGUGAAAUGCUUAGAUAUCACACAGAAUAUCAAUUGCGAAGGCAGCUCACAAAGCCAAGAUUGACGCUGAGGCACGAAAGUGUGGGGAUCAAACA
RNAcentral lists this ribosomal RNA (251 nucleotides) under uncultured prokaryote. RNAcentral's name for it is "partial 16S ribosomal RNA". It matches the Rfam family "Bacterial small subunit ribosomal RNA", at positions 524 to 774 of the family's 1533-position model. The record is from RNAcentral.